This 243-nucleotide unclassified non-coding RNA is filed under the name uncultured fungus. Its description in RNAcentral is "partial contains 5.8S ribosomal RNA, internal transcribed spacer 2, and large subunit ribosomal RNA". Lineage: Eukaryota; Fungi. The record is from RNAcentral.
AACGCACAUUGCGCCCUUUGGUAUUCCUUAGGGCAUGCCUGUUCGAGCGUCAUUUGAACCCUCAAGCUCAGCUUGGUGUUGGGCGCCUGUCCCCCCGCGGGACUCGCCUUAAAUCCAUUGGCAGCCGGUACGUUGGCUUCGAGCGCAGCAGAAACGCGCCUGGCGUCUGACGGUGCCGGCUCACCAGUAAGCCAUCAUCCACAGUUUGACCUCGGAUCAGGUAGGGAUACCCGCUGAACUUAA